UGUUUUAGUAUUGCUAGGGUUGGUGAUUGUUUGGAGAUGUGUUUGGGUAUUAGUAUAGAAAUUUUUUUUUGUGAUAGUUUAUUGUAUUGAUGAAGAUUUAUUAGUGUAUGAGGAUUUAAGGGUUUGUACCUUUUGUAUAAGGGUUUAGUGAAAUUUAAUUGUAUAUUUAAUUCUCGGACGUGAAUGAGUUAAAUAAUUUUUAUGAGGUUGUGAUAUUAGUUUAUGAAAGUUAUUUAGGGGUGAGAUGCUUACAAAUUUAUGGUGCUGGUUAUAGGUAAGAAGAAAGAGGAGGAUAAUCUCUUUUUUUUUUGUAAAUUAGUGAUGUAUUGAAGUAAAUAUUGGCUUAGGGGUAGUCAUGGAGUGUGUUAAUACUUAUUUAUUUUUAUUUUAUUAUAAUUGCUGAGAGUUUGAGGUAAUUUUUUAUUCUUAGAUAUAAUGCUGGAAUUAGUAAAAGUGUGGUUUGUUAUAUUUAAUGGUUUAGUAAUAGUCAAUGAAUUUGGCAAAGUUUCAGCUGGAAUGUUUAGUAAAUACAUUUUCUUAUGAAUUAUAUAAGGUAAGGCCUGCUCAAUGCUUGGGUGAAUAGCUGCGAUGAUGUAAUCGUGCUAAGGUAGCGUAAUAAUUAGUUAUUUAAUUGGUAACUGGAAUGAAGGGUUUAACUAGUUGGUACUGUGUUGAUUGUUUUUUUGAAUUUAAUUUUUCAGUGAAAAAGCUGGAGUGGAGUUAGGGGACGAGAAGACCCUUUAAAAUUUAUGCUAUUGUGUUAUAGGAAAUUUAUGGGGGUGAGGGAGCGAUGGUGCAAUGGUGUUAUCUGGGGCGGAGAAUGAAGAGGUUAUCUUCAAUUGAUUGGUGAUUCUUAUGGAAGGUGAUAUGAUUUAUUGAUAAAUGGAAAAAAUUACUUAAGGGAUAACAGCGUAAUUGUUAUGGUGAGAUCGGAUCUAUGUAACAGUUUGCGACCUCGAUGUUGAAUUAAGUGGAGCUGGGGAGUAUAAGAUUUAGUUUGUAGUCUGUUCGACUAAUAAGUACUUACAUGAUUUGAGUUUAGAUCGGCGUGAGCCAGAUUGGUUUCUAUCUUUAAAGUUUUGGGAUCUUUCUAUAGUACGAAAGGAUUUAGAGGGAGGAAUAAUUUUAGGGGGAGAGGAUAGUGAU
Molecule: ribosomal RNA, 1146 nt
Filed under: Armillifer grandis
Lineage: Eukaryota; Metazoa; Arthropoda; Ichthyostraca; Porocephalida; Armilliferidae
Description: 16S ribosomal RNA
Rfam family: Bacterial large subunit ribosomal RNA (bases 696-1146)
Source: RNAcentral